GGAAAUAAUUCCCAUUCGCCCAUUUUCGUAUAUUUUCUAUUUUCUUCUGUUUAUAUGUAAUUCGAAAGUAUUGUUUAUUCACUAGAAUUCAUAUAUAUAUUCAUUUUUAUCUUACACUCAUUACUUUUUAAUUUGCCAUAAAGUUUUAUGAUUUUUAAUUAUUAAACAUGCAAGAAAAUUAUUUGAAUUUACAAAUUUAUAUAUUGUAUUUGUAUAAACAAAAAUAUUAUCAUUUAAUUAUAUUUAUUUUUAUAUCUGUUCUUUGUAUUAUUUAUUAUUGUCAUGGACAUGAGCUGAUUCUAGGUAGAAAUACUAACAAAGCUGCGUUAGGAACAAGUUGGUGCUUUAAUCACUAUGGACCACAUUUUAAAUCCUAAAUUUUAUUGAUGAAGUAAUUUUUAAUAAUUAUAAAGGUG
RNAcentral lists this long non-coding RNA (416 nucleotides) under Androctonus crassicauda. The record is from RNAcentral. Lineage: Eukaryota; Metazoa; Arthropoda; Arachnida; Scorpiones; Buthidae.